RNAcentral lists this transfer RNA (83 nucleotides) under Lentinula raphanica. Its description in RNAcentral is "tRNA-Met". It matches the Rfam family "tRNA". From Rfam's summary of the family: Transfer RNA (tRNA) molecules are approximately 80 nucleotides in length. Their secondary structure includes four short double-helical elements and three loops (D, anti-codon, and T loops). Further hydrogen bonds mediate the characteristic L-shaped molecular structure. tRNAs have two regions of fundamental functional importance: the anti-codon, which is responsible for specific mRNA codon recognition, and the 3' end, to which the tRNAs corresponding amino acid is attached (by aminoacyl-tRNA synthetases). tRNAs cope with the degeneracy of the genetic code in two manners: having more than one tRNA (with a specific anti-codon) for a particular amino acid; and 'wobble' base-pairing, i.e. permitting non-standard base-pairing at the 3rd anti-codon position. The record is from RNAcentral. Lineage: Eukaryota; Fungi; Basidiomycota; Agaricomycetes; Agaricales; Omphalotaceae.
AGCAGCAUGGCGCAGUGGUAGCGCGCGGGGCCCAUAACCCCGAGGUCACUUGAUCGAAUAUUGAUCGAAACAAGUUGCUGCUA